AAAAGUUGUGCGAGGCGGUCCCUGGCAGUGCCAGGUGGCCGCUUAGACAUCAACACCCUCUGUAUAUCUACCCGCGUUGCUUUGGCGGGACGGCAGCCAGCAGCUCCGCUGGGAAGCUGUCCGCAGGGCCACUUAGGACCCCGCGAGUGCCCGCCAGAGAACCAUCAAACUCAUGUUAAACCGUGAUGUCUGAGCUGUACAAGCAAUAAGUUAA
RNAcentral lists this unclassified non-coding RNA (214 nucleotides) under soil metagenome. Its description in RNAcentral is "partial internal transcribed spacer 1". The record is from RNAcentral.